GCAGGCUGCAACUCGCCUGCAUGAAGCUGGAAUUGCUAGUAAUCGCGGAUCAGCAAGCCGCGGUGAAUACGUUCCCGGGUCUUGUACACACCGCCCGUCACACCAUGGGAGUCGGGAAUGCCCGAAGUCAGUGACCGAACCGAAAGGGGGAGCUGCCGAAGGCAGGCCUGGUAACUGGGGUGAAGUCGUAACAAGGUAAC
RNAcentral lists this ribosomal RNA (200 nucleotides) under uncultured bacterium. RNAcentral's name for it is "partial 16S ribosomal RNA". It matches the Rfam family "Bacterial small subunit ribosomal RNA", at positions 1300 to 1500 of the family's 1533-position model. The record is from RNAcentral.